GGGCCCGCACAAGCGGUGGAGCAUGUGGUUUAAUUCGAUGAUACGCGAGGAACCUUACCAGGGCUUAAAUGCAGAACGACCGGCGUGGAAACAUGCCUUUCUUCGGACGGACUGCAAGGUGCUGCAUGGUCGUCGUCAGCUCGUGCCGUGAGGUGUCGGGUUAAGUCCCAUAACGAGCGCAACCCCUAUCUUUAGUUGCCAGCGGAUAAUGCCGGGGACUCUAGAGAAACUGCCAGCGUAAGCUGUGAGGAAGGUGGGGAUGACGUCAGAUCAUCACGGCCCUUACGUCCUGGGCUACACACGUGCUACAAUGGCAAGGACAAUGAGCUGCCAACCCGCGAGGGUGAGCAAAUCUUCAAACCUUGUCUCAGUUCGGAUCGGAGUCUGCAACUCGACUCCGUGAAGUUGGAAUCGCUAGUAAUCGCGUAU
This 429-nucleotide ribosomal RNA is filed under the name uncultured bacterium. RNAcentral's name for it is "bacterial SSU rRNA". It matches the Rfam family "Bacterial small subunit ribosomal RNA", at positions 917 to 1349 of the family's 1533-position model. The record is from RNAcentral.